CCUACGGGUGGCUGCAGUGGGGAAUAUUGGGCAAUGGAGGCAACUCUGACCCAGCGACGCCGCGUGAAGGAAGAAGGCCUUAGGGUUGUAAACUUAUUUUGUCAGGGAAGAAAAGCAUGACGAUACUUUACAAGAACUCCCCGUCUAACUAUGUGCCAGCAGCCGCGGUAAGACAUAGGGGGCAAGCGUUGUUCGGAAUUACUGUGCGUAAAGGGAGCGUAGGCGGGAGAGUAAGUUAAGAGUGAAAGCCUUGGGCUCAACCCAAGAAAGGCUCUUAAUACUGGUUUUCUAGAGUGUGGGAGAGGUAAGUGGAAUUCCUAGUGUAGCGGUAGAAUGCGUAGAGAUUAGGAGGAACAUCAGAGGCGAAGGCGGCUUACUGGACCAUAACUGACGCUGAGGCUCGAAAGCGUGGGGAGCAAACAGGAUUAGAUACCCGAGUAGUC
This 443-nucleotide ribosomal RNA is filed under the name uncultured bacterium. RNAcentral describes it as "partial 16S ribosomal RNA". It matches the Rfam family "Bacterial small subunit ribosomal RNA", at positions 338 to 795 of the family's 1533-position model. The record is from RNAcentral.